AAAUACUGAUUUUGUUUUGCUAGCAUCACAAAUAAAUAUUUUGAGAAUUCAUCUUUCUUAAGAAUUCUAAAAUUUUGCUUCUGAAUCUUUUUCAUGAUAUUACUUUAACUUUCUGAUAUACUUUCAAAGAGUUCGUUGACUUCAGAAUCCUAUCUGAUUAUUUGAGCUUGUAUCAUAAUUUAGAAGAGAAGAAAGAUAGGGAGGGUUGUAGCUAAAUAAGUUGGGAAAACUGCUACAUUCACUUUACUAAAAUGAAUGUCAUUCCAUUUUUUACUAUAGAGUUUAUAGCAAGGAAAACCUUGUAUAUGAUUAUUCAAAGCAGCAUUAUUCAUAUUAUCCAAAUGUCUAAUAACUGGUGAACAUGUGAAUAUCAAUUUUCAUAUUGUAUCCAUUUUAUAUACCUGUAAUUAAACAUUAUUUGAUCAUAAAAAGAAAUACUGAUACAUGUUACAACAUGGAUGAGUCUUGAGAGUACUAUAUUAAGUGAAAGAAGCCAGGAACAAGGUCACAUAUUCUCUUGAUUCCAUUUAUAUGAAAUGUCCAUUGCAGGCAUAUCUGUAGAGACAGAAAGGAGAUUAGUUGUUGCGGGGGGUCAGGGUAGGGAGUUGGGCAGUGACUGCUAAUGGGUGCAGGUUUCUUUUUGGGGUGAUGGAAUGUGGUGCAGUGGUGGUGUUUUGUUAAAGGGCUAUGAGUUCAACUGUGAAUAUGCUAAAAACACUAAAUUGGUCUUUUAAAAGAGUGAAUUUGAUAUGUGAUUUAUAUGUCAACAAGCUGUUAGUAAAAACAAAAGGAGGGUUAUAGCAACAGUUAAGGCAAGAAGAGAUCAGGGCUUAAAAUGAGACAGUUAUGAUAGAAAGGGACUGGGGAAUGUAGGAGGUGAGCUGAAGAGCUUCAAUGACUAAUUUUUUUUACUGACAGGGACACAAAAUCCCCAGGGCUGAAAUCCUUAGGAGACAGUACUAAUGGCUGCUCCGGUACACAGCUUGAAUUUGAGCAAUUGCUUGAAUUUGAGCAAUUGCUAGCUUCACCAAGAACAGACUGUACACAUAAUAAAUGAAGGCCCUUUAACAAAAACUGUCAUCUGUAGACAAC
RNAcentral lists this long non-coding RNA (1092 nucleotides) under Marmota monax (woodchuck). Lineage: Eukaryota; Metazoa; Chordata; Mammalia; Rodentia; Sciuridae. The record is from RNAcentral.